GAAAUGCGAUAACUAGUACGAAUUGCAGAAUUCAGUGAAUCAUCGAGUCUUUGAACGCACAUUGCGCCCGCCAGUACUCUGGCGGGCAUGCCCGUCCGAGCGUCAUUUCAACCCCUCGAGCCGCCCCCCUUUCGGGGGGGACGGGCUCGGCGUUGGGGCGCGCGGGAGCCCGCUUGCUACGGCAGCGGUCCCGCGGCCCUGAAGACCAGCGGCGGCCGCCGAAGGGAUGCCCCCUGCGCAGUAACCAAACCUCGCACCGGGAACCCGCGGCGCGCCGGCCCCCGGCCCUCUGCCGGACCGCAGCGUUUUCGCCUCACAGCGGAGACCUAACUGGUUGACCUCGGAUCGGGUAGGAAUACCCGCUGAACUUAA
Molecule: unclassified non-coding RNA, 372 nt
Filed under: uncultured Tolypocladium
Lineage: Eukaryota; Fungi; Ascomycota; Sordariomycetes; Hypocreales; Clavicipitaceae
Description: sequence contains ITS1
Rfam family: 5.8S ribosomal RNA (bases 1-105)
Source: RNAcentral